This 253-nucleotide ribosomal RNA is filed under the name uncultured bacterium. RNAcentral describes it as "partial 16S ribosomal RNA". It matches the Rfam family "Bacterial small subunit ribosomal RNA", at positions 524 to 776 of the family's 1533-position model. The record is from RNAcentral.
UACGGAGGAUGCAAGCGUUAUCCGGAAUGAUUGGGCGUAAAGCGUCCGCAGGUGGCUAUGUAAGUCUGCUGUUAAAGAGUGAGGCUCAACCUCAUAAGAGCAGUGGAAACUACAUGGCUAGAGUGCGUUCGGGGCAGAGGGAAUUCCUGGUGUAGCGGUGAAAUGCGUAGAGAUCAGGAAGAACACCGGUGGCGAAAGCGCUCUGCUAGGCCGCAACUGACGCUCAUGGACGAAAGCUAGGGGAGCGAAUGGG